Molecule: ribosomal RNA, 609 nt
Filed under: Fusarium tricinctum
Lineage: Eukaryota; Fungi; Ascomycota; Sordariomycetes; Hypocreales; Nectriaceae
Description: partial large subunit ribosomal RNA
Rfam family: Eukaryotic large subunit ribosomal RNA
Source: RNAcentral
UGCAUAUUCCAAAAGCGGAGGAAAAGAAACCAACAGGGAUUGCCCUAGUAACGGCGAGUGAAGCGGCAACAGCUCAAAUUUGAAAUCUGGCUUUCGGGCCCGAGUUGUAAUUUGUAGAGGAUACUUUUGAUGCGGUGCCUUCCGAGUUCCCUGGAACGGGACGCCAUAGAGGGUGAGAGCCCCGUCUGGUUGGAUGCCAAAUCUCUGUAAAGUUCCUUCGACGAGUCGAGUAGUUUGGGAAUGCUGCUCUAAAUGGGAGGUAUAUGUCUUCUAAAGCUAAAUAUUGGCCAGAGACCGAUAGCGCACAAGUAGAGUGAUCGAAAGAUGAAAAGCACUUUGAAAAGAGAGUUAAAAAGUACGUGAAAUUGUUGAAAGGGAAGCGUUUAUGACCAGACUUGGACUUGGUUAAUCAUCUGGGGUUCUCCCCAGUGCACUUUUCCAGUUCAGGCCAGCAUCAGUUUUCGCCGGGGGAUAAAGGCUUCGGGAAUGUAGCUCUCUUCGGGGAGUGUUAUAGCCCGUUGUGUAAUACCCUGGCGGAGACUGAGGUUCGCGCUUCUGCAAGGAUGCUGGCGUAAUGGUCAUCAACGACCCGUCUUGAACCCGGGACCA